UACGUAGGGUGCGAGCGUUAAUCGGAAUUACUGGGCGUAAAGCGUGCGCAGGCGGUUCGUUAUGUCCGAUGUGAAAGCCCCGAGCUUAACUUGGGAAUGGCAUUGGAAACUGGCGGGCUGGAGUGCGGCAGAGGGGGGUGGAAUUCCACGUGUAGCAGUGAAAUGCGUAGAGAUGUGGAGGAACACCGAUGGCGAAGGCAGCCCCCUGGGCCGACACUGACGCUCAGGCACGAAAGCGUGGGGAGCAAACAGG
RNAcentral lists this ribosomal RNA (253 nucleotides) under uncultured bacterium. Its description in RNAcentral is "partial 16S ribosomal RNA". It matches the Rfam family "Bacterial small subunit ribosomal RNA", at positions 524 to 776 of the family's 1533-position model. The record is from RNAcentral.